RNAcentral lists this ribosomal RNA (253 nucleotides) under uncultured bacterium. RNAcentral describes it as "partial 16S ribosomal RNA". It matches the Rfam family "Bacterial small subunit ribosomal RNA", at positions 524 to 776 of the family's 1533-position model. The record is from RNAcentral.
UACGAGGGGGGCAAAUGUUGUUCGGAAUCACUGGGCGUAAAGGGAGCGUAGGCGGGUUUUUAAGUCAGGUGUUUAAUCCCGGGGCCCAACCCCGGACAGGCACUUGAAACUGGGAAUCUUGAAUAGGGGAGAGGUCGGUGGAAUUGGAGGUGUAGCGGUGGAAUGCGUAGAGAUCUCCAAGAACACCCGUUGCGAAGGCGGCCGACUGGACCCAUAUUGACGCUGAGGCUCGAAAGCAUGGGGAGCAAACAGG